GGACAGGUGGCCGAGCGGUUGAAGGCGUCAGUCUCGAAAACUGAUAUAUCCUUGCGGGUAUCGAGGGUUCGAAUCCCUCUCUGUCCGCCA
This 90-nucleotide transfer RNA is filed under the name Helicobacteraceae bacterium. Its description in RNAcentral is "tRNA-Ser". It matches the Rfam family "tRNA". Rfam says of the family: Transfer RNA (tRNA) molecules are approximately 80 nucleotides in length. Their secondary structure includes four short double-helical elements and three loops (D, anti-codon, and T loops). The record is from RNAcentral. Lineage: Bacteria; Pseudomonadati; Campylobacterota; Epsilonproteobacteria; Campylobacterales; Helicobacteraceae.